This 445-nucleotide ribosomal RNA is filed under the name uncultured bacterium. Its description in RNAcentral is "bacterial SSU rRNA". It matches the Rfam family "Bacterial small subunit ribosomal RNA", at positions 330 to 792 of the family's 1533-position model. The record is from RNAcentral.
GCCAGACUCCUACGGGAGGCAGCAGUGGGGAAUAUUGCACAAUGGGGGAAACCCUGAUGCAGCGACGCCGCGUGAGCGAUGAAGUAUUUCGGUAUGUAAAGCUCUAUCAGCAGGGAAGAAAAUGACGGUACCUGACUAAGAAGCCCCGGCUAACUACGUGCCAGCAGCCGCGGUAAUACGUAGGGGGCAAGCGUUAUCCGGAUUUACCGGGUGUAAAGGGAGCGUAGACGGCGAUGCAAGCCAGAUGUGAAAGCCCGGGGCUCAACCCCGGGACUGCAUUUGGAACUGUAUAGCUAGAGUGUCGGAGAGGCAGGCGGAAUUCCUAGUGUAGCGGUGAAAUGCGUAGAUAUUAGGAGGAACACCAGUGGCGAAGGCGGCUUGCUGGGUCGAUACUGACAUUGAGGCACGAAAGCGUGGGGAGCAAACAGGAUUAGAUACCCUAGUA